GUUAGAGAGUUCACAGCUCGGUAAAAAAAAAUUCUAAAUUUUGUAGUUUUUUUUCGGCAAUAUUUAUUUGACUAGAUAUUAAGAAUAAAGUGAUAUUUUUUUACAACUAAUUUAAGCAAAAAGUGAAAAACACAAUCAACUAACAAAAGACAGUGAAAAGAAAACAACAAAAAUGUUCGUGGGGCAGAGAACUCACAGCUCGCAAAAAGUGAAAAACACAAUCAACAAACAAAAGACAGUGAAAAGAAAACAACAGUUAUGCUCGUUUCGUAAGAAAAAAAAUAAUAAAUGCAACAAUUAACAGCUCAACACCAAUCAAAUACCGCGAAAAAUACUCUGGGGUCUCACUUUAGAUGGCAGUAGGUUUUCCUCGGGGUCCAAUGGAUGCUGGAUCAUAGACGACUAAUACAACAAUCAAUCAACACCAAUCAAAUAACGCGAAAAAUACUCUGGGGUCUCACUUUAGAUGGCAGUAGGUUUUCUUCGGGGUCCAAUGGAUGCUGGAUCAUAGACGACUAAUACAACAAUCAACACCACCCGUUCAGCAUUAAACAAUAAUCAAAAAAAAAACUGCGAAAAAGACACUAUAGAGUUGUUCCCACAGCUGGCAGGAGGUCGUCCUUGGAGUCUAACGGAUGUACAAUCGGAUACACGGUCAAACACGUUCACGAGUGCGAACUACAUAUACUAAACACACUAUACUAUAUUUUGAUACUAAUAAUUAUAUAUUUUUAUACCAAAAACAAA
RNAcentral lists this small RNA (747 nucleotides) under Drosophila pseudoobscura pseudoobscura. Its description in RNAcentral is "GA31414". The record is from RNAcentral. Lineage: Eukaryota; Metazoa; Arthropoda; Insecta; Diptera; Drosophilidae.